RNAcentral lists this long non-coding RNA (1624 nucleotides) under Homo sapiens (human). Its description in RNAcentral is "HSALNT0295948". The record is from RNAcentral. Lineage: Eukaryota; Metazoa; Chordata; Mammalia; Primates; Hominidae.
GGCCCGAGCUGCACAGGCCAAGGAAUUCCACAGAGGGUGUGACCCAAAGCCCCUAACAACAGACUCGCUGGGACCCCCUAGACUUGGCAUGGAGGCUGGGUGCAGACCUAGAAGACAGAGGUGGUGAAGCCCGGCCAGUGAGGACAAGAGCUGCGGGGAAGGACACCGAGGUGACUUGACGGCAGCAGCAGGCCUGAAGGCUCUGGCUGCUUUGGAAGAUAUUUCAAUGAGAUGCAAAUCGCAAUCGACUGACCAUUAGUUUCCACUGCAGUGUUUGCAGAUGGAGUCGAAUGUAACCCCCCGGGAAUGGAGCCGGGAGGGUCAGAGAACGCGGCUGCGCUCUGGAUCUCCGAAGGGGGGCGGGGGCCUGGAAGAGGUCCGGGCCCAGAAUGGACCUCCAGGUCCCUGCUGCCGCAAUCUGGCCCUGCCCUCCAGCCUACCCCUUACUCCCAGAGGAAGGGACCCAGGGAGACCCACCCAGAUGCCCUGAAAGGAGGUGGAGGAUGGGGGUGGGGCAAUACGCAGAGUUUGUCUGGUGAAUGCAGGAAAGGGGUGGGGGCUGGAGAGGAAAAGGAUGGAGCAGCCGUCAGCUUGUCAACUCCGCAUCUGCUGGCUGCCUCGGCCGGGCUCCAGCCUGCGCCCUCGCCCCUCGGAACAGCGGCACGCUGCAAUCCUGUACCCUGAAACCAGCUAGAUGAGCAUGUCCUAUAGAGGCCAAGGCUACCAUGGGCACCCUCUGGGCAUCGGGCCCUGUCUGCAAUACACCUGCAGGAAGAGCUCGAUCAGGUUCAGGUAAUAGGGCUGCUCCCGGCAAUAGAGCUUCAGCAGGCGGUAGAUACAUGCUUCCAGGAGGUUAGCAUCAUUGAUGGCAUCCAAACCCACGCCCGGCUGUCAUGACAGACAGAAAAACAAGCAAUCAAUCUCUAGUCUCGGUUCAUACUAAGAGCCAUCACCCCAACACCUCAACCAGGCCAUAUAUAACCACCUCCCUGUGGCCUGUCCCCAUACCCACUGCUAUUUUCCUGCCCACAUUACCUUCUGAUACCAGCAGAUCUGUCCCCGGCGGGUAAGGGAUGAAUCCAUGAUGUCAUCUGCCACCAGGAAGAAAGCUUGCAGCUAGAAAGAGUGGAAUAAGACCUGCAGGGCUCCUCAUUACUGUUCCUUCUAUCAGCAACAGAGCUGCUACUUUAUAUCUGUAUAUAGUUUUGCUUUUUUUUGGUAGGGGACAGAGUCUCACUAUUAUCCAGUGCAGUGGUGCAGUCACAGCUCACUGUAGCCUCUAACUCCCAGGCUCAAGUGAUCCUCCCACUUCAGCUUCCUGAGUUCCUGAGACCAUAGGCACAUACCCCAUGCCUGGCUAUUUUUUUUUUUUAAUUUAUUUUUUGUAGAGACAGGGUCCCACUAUGUUGCUCAGGCUGGUUUUGAACCCCUGGGUUCAAAUGAUCCUCCUGCCUCAGCCUCCCAAAUUACUGGGAUUACAGGCAUGAGGCAUCACAGCCGGCCAGAGCUGCUGCCUUUGACAGUCCCUAUGAGCUGGGAAAGUCAGGAUGGGGAGACAGAAGACUUCUGUGCUAUGGAGACUUGGAAAGUGACAUAACAUGUUUGGCUCAGACUCCCCGCCUAU